CAACGUGGGGAACCUGCCCCAUAGUCUGGGAUACCACUUGGAAACAGGUGCUAAUACCGGAUAAGAAAGCAGAUCGCAUGAUCAGCUUUUAAAAGGCGGCGUAAGCUGUCGCUAUGGGAUGGCCCCGCGGUGCAUUAGUUAGUUGGUAAGGUAAAGGCUUACCAAGGCGAUGAUGCAUAGCCGAGUUGAGAGACUGAUCGGCCACAUUGGGACUGAGACACGGCCCAAACUCCUACGGGAGGCAGCAGCC
This 250-nucleotide ribosomal RNA is filed under the name uncultured Lactobacillus sp. RNAcentral describes it as "partial 16S ribosomal RNA". It matches the Rfam family "Bacterial small subunit ribosomal RNA", at positions 113 to 355 of the family's 1533-position model. The record is from RNAcentral. Lineage: Bacteria; Bacillati; Bacillota; Bacilli; Lactobacillales; Lactobacillaceae.